Molecule: small RNA, 82 nt
Filed under: Pseudomonas citronellolis
Lineage: Bacteria; Pseudomonadati; Pseudomonadota; Gammaproteobacteria; Pseudomonadales; Pseudomonadaceae
Description: Proteobacterial sRNA sX8
Rfam family: Proteobacterial sRNA sX8
Source: RNAcentral
CUUCGCUGCUUGAGGUGGCGAAGAGAAGCAUUGGGAAACAUAGACUUAGCGCUCCAGUGUUAGUCUCGUUUCCCGCUCCAAA